GAACGCUGGCGGCAGGCCUAACACAUGCAAGUCGAGCGGUAACAGAUCCAGCUUGCUGGAUGCUGACGAGCGGCGGACGGGUGAGUAAUGCAUAGGAAUCUGCCCGAUAGUGGGGGAUAACCUGGGGAAACCCAGGCUAAUACCGCAUACGUCCUACGGGAGAAAGGGGGCUUCGGCUCCCGCUAUCGGAUGAGCCUAUGUCGGAUUAGCUAGUUGGUGAGGUAAAGGCUCACCAAGGCAACGAUCCGUAGCUGGUCUGAGAGGAUGAUCAGCCACAUCGGGACUGAGACACGGCCCGAACUCCUACGGGAGGCAGCAGUGGGGAAUAUUGGACAAUGGGGGCAACCCUGAUCCAGCCAUGCCGCGUGUGUGAAGAAGGCCCUCGGGUUGUAAAGCACUUUCAGCGAGGAAGAACGCCUAGCGGUUAAUACCCGCUAGGAAAGACAUCACUCGCAGAAGAAGCACCGGCUAACUCCGUGCCAGCAGCCGCGGUAAUACGGAGGGUGCAAGCGUUAAUCGGAAUUACUGGGCGUAAAGCGCGCGUAGGUGGCUUGAUAAGCCGGUUGUGAAAGCCCCGGGCUCAACCUGGGAACGGCAUCCGGAACUGUCAAGCUAGAGUGCAGGAGAGGAAGGUAGAAUUCCCGGUGUAGCGGUGAAAUGCGUAGAGAUCGGGAGGAAUACCAGUGGCGAAGGCGGCCUUCUGGACUGACACUGACACUGAGGUGCGAAAGCGUGGGUAGCAAACAGGAUUAGAUACCCUGGUAGUCCACGCCGUAAACGAUGUCGACCAGCCGUUGGGUGCCUAGCGCACUUUGUGGCGAAGUUAACGCGAUAAGUCGACCGCCUGGGGAGUACGGCCGCAAGGUUAAAACUCAAAUGAAUUGACGGGGGCCCGCACAAGCGGUGGAGCAUGUGGUUUAAUUCGAUGCAACGCGAAGAACCUUACCUACUCUUGACAUCCUGCGAAUUCGGUAGAGAUACCUUAGUGCCUUCGGGAACGCAGAGACAGGUGCUGCAUGGCUGUCGUCAGCUCGUGUUGUGAAAUGUUGGGUUAAGUCCCGUAACGAGCGCAACCCUUGUCCUUAUUUGCCAGCGCGUAAUGGCGGGAAACUCUAGGAGACUGCCGGUGANCAACCNGAGAANNGUGGGACGACGUNCAGUCAUCAUGGCCCUUACGAGUANGGCUACACACGUGCUACA
RNAcentral lists this ribosomal RNA (1200 nucleotides) under uncultured bacterium. RNAcentral's name for it is "bacterial SSU rRNA". It matches the Rfam family "Bacterial small subunit ribosomal RNA", at positions 31 to 1229 of the family's 1533-position model. The record is from RNAcentral.